GAUGAACGCUGGCUACAGGCUUAACACAUGCAAGUCGAGGGGAAACGACGGGGAAGCUUGCUUCCCCGGGCGUCGACCGGCGCACGGGUGAGUAACGCGUAUCCAACCUGCCUCUGACUGAGGGAUAACCCGUCGAAAGUCGGCCUAAUACCUCAUGGCAUCGUCUGCGGGCAUCCAACGACGAUUAAAGAUUUCAUCGGUCAGGGAUGGGAUGCGUCUGAUUAGCUUGUUGGCGGGGUAACGGCCCACCAAGGCUACGAUCAGUAGGGGUUCUGAGAGGAAGGUCCCCCACAUUGGAACUGAGACACGGUCCAAACUCCUACGGGAGGCAGCAGUGAGGAAUAUUGGUCAAUGGGCGGGAGCCUGAACCAGCCAAGUAGCGUGCAGGAUGACGGCCCUAUGGGUUGUAAACUGCUUUUAUGCGGGGAUAAAGUGAGGGACGUGUCCUUCAUUGCAGGUACCGCAUGAAUAAGGACCGGCUAAUUCCGUG
This 490-nucleotide ribosomal RNA is filed under the name uncultured bacterium. RNAcentral's name for it is "partial 16S ribosomal RNA". It matches the Rfam family "Bacterial small subunit ribosomal RNA", at positions 28 to 507 of the family's 1533-position model. The record is from RNAcentral.